GGGCAGGGUAGCCUAGUGGUUAGAGUGUAGAGGUGGCAGGGUAGCCUAGUGGUUAGAGUGUAGAGGUGGCAGGGUAGCCUAGUGGUUAGAGUGUAGAGGGGGCAGGGUAGCCUAGUGGUUAGAGUGUAGAGGAGGCAGGGUAGCCUAGUGGUUAGAGUGUAGAGGCGGCAGGGUAGCCUAGUGGUUAGAGUGUAGAGGGGGCAGGGUAGCCUAGUGGUUAGAGUGUAGAGGGGGCAGGGUAGCCUAGUGGUUAGAGUGUAGAGGGGGCAGGGUAGCCUAGUGGUUAGAGUGUAGAGGAGGCAGGUAGCCUAGUGGUUAGAGUGUAGAGGGGGCAGGGUAGCCUAGUGGUUAGAGUGUAGGGGAGGCAGGUAGCCUAGUGGUUAGAGUGUAGAGGAGGCAGGUAGCCUAGUGGUUAGAGUGUAGGGGAGGCAGGUAGCCUAGUGGUUAGAGUGUAGGGGCGGCAGGUAGCCUAGUGGUUAGAGUGUAGAGGAGGCAGGUAGCCUAGUGGUUAGAGUGUAGAGGGGGCAGGGUAGCCUAGUGUUUAGAGUGUAGAGGUG
Long non-coding RNA from Oncorhynchus tshawytscha (Chinook salmon), 557 nucleotides. NCBI's taxonomy places the organism in Eukaryota, Metazoa, Chordata, Actinopteri, Salmoniformes, Salmonidae. The record is from Ensembl.